GAUGAACGCUGGCGGCGUGCCUAAUACAUGCAAGUCGAGCGAACAGAUGAGGAGCUUGCUCCUCUGACGUUAGCGGCGGACGGGUGAGUAACACGUGGAUAACCUACCUAUAAGACUGGGAUAACUUCGGGAAACCGGAGCUAAUACCGGAUAAUAUAUUGAACCGCAUGGUUCAAUAGUGAAAGACGGUUUUGCUGUCACUUAUAGAUGGAUCCGCGCCGCAUUAGCUAGUUGGUAAGGUAACGGCUUACCAAGGCAACGAUGCGUAGCCGACCUGAGAGAGUGAUCGGCCAUACUAACACUGAGACACGGUCCAGACUCCUACGGGAUGCAGCAGUAGGGAAUCUUCCGCAAUGUGCGAAAGCCUGACGGAGCAACGCUGCGCGAGUGAUGAAGGUCUUCGGAUCGUAAAACUCUGUUAUUAGGGAAGAACAAAUGUGUAAGUAAAUAUGCACGUCUUGACGGUACCUAAUCAGAAAGCCACGGCUAACUACGUG
Molecule: ribosomal RNA, 497 nt
Filed under: uncultured bacterium
Lineage: Bacteria
Description: partial 16S ribosomal RNA
Rfam family: Bacterial small subunit ribosomal RNA
Source: RNAcentral